RNAcentral lists this ribosomal RNA (254 nucleotides) under uncultured bacterium. RNAcentral describes it as "partial 16S ribosomal RNA". It matches the Rfam family "Bacterial small subunit ribosomal RNA", at positions 524 to 776 of the family's 1533-position model. The record is from RNAcentral.
GACGGUAGGGCGCGAGCGUUGUCCGGAUUUAUUGGGCGUAAAGAGCUCGUAGGCGGUUUGUCGCGUCUGCCGUGAAAGUCCGGGGCUCAACUCCGGAUCUGCGGUGGGUACGGGCAGACUAGAGUGAUGUAGGGGAGACUGGAAUUCCUGGUGUAGCGGUGAAAUGCGCAGAUAUCAGGAGGAACACCGAUGGCGAAGGCAGGUCUCUGGGCAUUAACUGACGCUGAGGAGCGAAAGCAUGGGGAGCGAACAGG